CUUUCUGUAAAUGCAUAAUGUCUCCAGAAGCUUUCAGCUAAAAUACCAAUGUGUUAUUUUGGAGAGAGAACACAUGAACUCUGAGCAUUCACAAAUUGCCUAAGCAUGAACCAGUUUAUCAAGUCAUUUAAGUUGAGAGAAAGGUCCUCAAGGAAGGAAUUACAAAAUUGUGCUUUUUAUGGGACGUCGUGAGAAGGCUCAGGGAAGUUAUGAGGAGCAAGGCAAGGGUCACAGUCACAUUCACAGAACCUCAUUAGGGUGGAUCCACAGGACAUACUUCCCACUGCUCGCAGAAGUAUUACCACCCUUUGGAAUAAUCAAUCAAUCAAACCAACUCAACAAUCUUUCUUUUAAUGCUAGUGGCACAUAUUGACAUAAAAAUAAAAUUUUGCUUCCUGGUGGAACAUGAAUA
Molecule: long non-coding RNA, 412 nt
Filed under: Homo sapiens (human)
Lineage: Eukaryota; Metazoa; Chordata; Mammalia; Primates; Hominidae
Description: HSALNT0313207
Source: RNAcentral